GACGAACGCUGGCGGCGUGCUUAACACAUGCAAGUCGAACGGAAAGGCCUCUUUCGGGGGGUACUCGAGUGGCGAACGGGUGAGUAACACGUGAGUAACCUGCCCUUGACUUUGGGAUAACUUCAGGAAACUGGGGCUAAUACCGGAUAGGAGCUCCUGCUGCAUGGUGGGGGUUGGAAAGUUUCGGCGGUUGGGGAUGGACUCGCGGCUUAUCAGCUUGUUGGUGGGGUAGUGGCUUACCAAGGCUUUGACGGGUAGCCGGCCUGAGAGGGUGACCGGCCACAUUGGGACUGAGAUACGGCCCAGACUCCUACGGGAGGCAGCGGUGGGGAAUAUUGCACAAUGGGUGAAGCCUGAUGCAGCAACGCCGUGUGCGGGAUGACGGCCUUCGGGUUGUAAACCGCUUUCGCUCAUGACGAAGCUUUGUGUGACGGUAGUGGGUAAAGAAGCACCGGCUAACUACGUG
Molecule: ribosomal RNA, 466 nt
Filed under: uncultured bacterium
Lineage: Bacteria
Description: partial 16S ribosomal RNA
Rfam family: Bacterial small subunit ribosomal RNA
Source: RNAcentral